RNAcentral lists this small RNA (771 nucleotides) under Pan troglodytes (chimpanzee). Its description in RNAcentral is "processed transcript". The record is from RNAcentral. Lineage: Eukaryota; Metazoa; Chordata; Mammalia; Primates; Hominidae.
UCUCCCCGAUUAACCCGCGAAGUGAGCGGGACCCUCCUGCUUGCAGGAUACGGAGCGCCGCCUCCCUCGGUUGUUUACUUCUGUCAAAAUGGUCUUCCCGCGCGGGCCUCCACCACAAAGAUGAGCACACGGCCUUGGAGACGGUUUUCUAUUGGGUGAUUAUCCAGGGUUUUCGAAGUUACAGAGAUCAAACAAUUGUAGAUCCCUUCAGUUCAAAACAUAAUGUGAUUGUGGGCAGAAAUGGAUCUGGAAAAAGUAACUUUUUUUAUGCAAUUCAGUUUGUUCUCAGUGAUGAGUUUAGUCAUCUUCGUCCAGAACAGCGGUUGGCUUUAUUGCAUGAAGGUACUGGUCCUCGUGUUAUUUCUGCUUUUGUGGAGAUUAUUUUUGAUAAUUCAGACAACCGGUUACCAAUCGAUAAAGAAGAAGUUUCACUUCGAAGAGUUAUUGGUGCCAAAAAGGAUCAGUAUUUCUUAGACAAGAAGAUGGUCACGAAAAAUGAUGUGAUGAACCUCCUUGAAAGCGCUGGUUUUUCUCGAAGCAAUCCGUAUUAUAUUGUUAAACAAGGAAAGAUCAACCAGAUGGCAACAGCACCAGAUUCUCAGAGAUUAAAGCUAUUAAGAGAAGUAGCUGGUACUAGAGUGUAUGACGAACGAAAGGAAGAAAGCAUCUCCUUAAUGAAAGAAACAGAGGGCAAACGGGAAAAAAUCAAUGAGUUGUUAAAAUACAUUGAAGAGAGAUUACAUACUCUAGAGGAAGAAAAGGAAGAACUAG